Molecule: long non-coding RNA, 3554 nt
Filed under: Homo sapiens (human)
Lineage: Eukaryota; Metazoa; Chordata; Mammalia; Primates; Hominidae
Description: HSALNT0397270
Source: RNAcentral
GCCUGUGAGGACUUGCAUGUAUGCACGGCCUGGUUGUGCAUAGAAGGGAGAGAAAGGCCGGCCGUUAGUCUUUCUGGACUUCUCAGGCUUUGGCCUCCUCCGAGACCCUGGGGGGCUGCCCUUUCUGCCUUGUAUUCCCCCAAAGUCUCUGCUUCCUAACAACAGAGUUUGCCUUCUUGCUUAAGACCCAGUGAGCAGGCUUCUGUUCUUGCAGCCAAAGGAGCUUUGGUCCCAGCAGUGGUGGUGGCUGGGGCAGCGCAGCCUCCUGCAUGGGCUUGGUGGAGUCCCGGGGCCCCUGUGUGCAAGGUCCAUGCUCCUCCAGCUCCCAGAGGCCCAGCAGGGGCCAGGGCUGGGUCUUGCUGACCCUGAGGUUAAAGCUACCACUAUCGCUAGGGAGAGCUCUCUGUGGGCUUUCACACCCCAGAAGUCCCAGGAUACAAGUCUCCUGAGGAGGGCCUCUGGGAGAGUCCUGCUGGGGACAUGGAUCCCUGUGCGGGGGGUAUUUUAUAGAUAUGCAGGAUGCUGAAGUUUCAAUCCAAGCCUUUUCACUUCAUCGCCAACCACCCUGCUCUCUUUAGUACCAGCAACAUCAUCAAGUCACCGCAGAGAAGCAAGUACCCCUGGGCAGCCUUGACCCCCACCCAGAGAGACUCACCAGGUUACAGAGGCUGGAAUCUGAUGGGGUGAUGGUUGUUGGUUGGGGUUUCUCAGGUUUAAGGAGAGGAUUUUCCCUACCCAUACCCCCCACCCCAUUGCCAUUCUCAAGAACUCAUCCCAGUUGCCCGGAAGAACAUCCCAGGCUGAGUUAUGUUGUGUGACCUUCUCACCAGUCUUUGCAGAUUAGAAGUAGGGUGGACAUCUGAGCCAAGCCAUGCCAGUGUUCUGUUUGUGGAGGAUUUGGAGUUAAGGCGGGGAGGCCCUGGGAGCCAGCCUCCUGUCUUCAAGGUGCCAGUGACUUAGAGGCCAUGGGUUUCUUCCUUUUGUCCUAAAAACAUAGAGAGGGCUGAUGCAGAGGAGAACCACAGGAGCCGAGGGAGAAGAGAUGCCACCUUGGGGCUCCUCGUGUUCCCAGGUACAGGCUGUACGUCUGGAAGGCAGGGCCCUCCUUCCUGCCUUGGGUUUCCCCAAAAGUCUCUGCCUCCUAACAAGGUUUACUUCCUUCCUUAAGAACCAAUGAGCAGGCCUCUGUUCCUAGCUGCCAAAGGGCAUCUGGCCACAGCAGCAGGAGCUGUGCAGCCCCAUGCGUGGGCUUGGAGGCCUCACACAGCUUCUGCAUGGAGGGCGAGGGGCUCCUCCAGCUCCCUGAGGCCCAGCAGGGCCUGGGGCUGGGUCUUGCUGACCCUGAGGGUAAAGUCACCCCAGUCAUGAGGGGAAGGGCUCUGUGGGCUUCCUGAAGGACAUACGCUUUGGAGGUAGAGCAGGGUGGCCUAUGGGGAGAGGGAAGGAACAGGGCCACAAGUUGUCCCAGAACAUUUGGCUGUUAGAGGGAGUGUAUCAGGGCAGGAAGGGAGAUGGCCCUGGCGCCGGCAGCUCUGGUUAGCUUCCUCUGCAUGUCACAUGUCCACAUCUCCAGAGUUCCUGCAAGGACAACAACAGUGCCAUUUAAGUGAGGAACCUGAGGUUUAGAGGACAUAUUUCCUUCCCAGGGCUGCCGUCAGAGAACAGUAACUGGUUGGGGGAGAGGUGGGGGCUUAAGACAAGAGACAUUUAUUCUCCCACUAUUCUGGAGGCCAGAAGCCUGAAAUCAAAAUGUCCACAGGGCUCUGCGCCCUCCAAAGGCCCUAGGAAGAGGCCUUCCUUACCUUUUCUGGUGGCUCCAGGUGUUCCUGGGCUUGUGGCUGCCUCGCUCCAGUCUCUGCCUGUGUAUUCAUGUCGUCUUUCCUCUUAUCUCUUGGUCUUCUCUUCCAUCUCUUAAAAGAGCGCUUGUCCUUGGAUUUGGGCCCACCUGGAUAAUCCAGCAUGAUCUCAUCUCUAGAUCCUUAACUUAAUUCCGUCUACAGAGACCCCUUUUCCAAAUAAGGACACAUUCACAGAUGCUGAGGGUGGCAGGUGGACAUGCUAUUUUGGGGCCUCAUUUAACUUUCUGCAGAUAGGCUGGCUGAUUUUCCACUGUCACGCAGCAGUAAAUAUCUGAGCGAGGUCUGGAACCAGCCCAGUCUGACUGCCAUGAUAUUUGCUGGAUACAACAUGAAGAUAUGGGAGGAGAGGGAGAAAGGCCAGGGCAGAAAGUGCCUCCCAACACUUUCAGUAUUUCCUGCACUCUCUGGGAAAACAUAGGUAUGAUGAUAUUUAUUCUAGAUCAAUGGCUGUUAGAGAAAAGCCAGGGUGGGAGGCCCUGGGACGGCCUUCACUCCUGGGUCCCUGUGCUCCCACAUAUGUUCCUACAUGAACCAUGGCCUCCCUCUCAGAAGAUGCCCUCAGAUCCCAUGGGUGCAUUGCUAGCAACAUCCACAGGCACCGGGAUCUUGAGCACUGGAGCGGCCCCAAAGGGGAAGGUGUUGGUUGGUCCAGGAGGAGAGCACUCUCCAGGGAGGUGAAGGGCCAGAAGCAGAAUGGAGCAGAAUUCCUUCUACUCAGGGGAGGAGGCUGUGGAGAACCCUGUCCCCCUACCUACAUUUCUGUCACCCCAGAAUUGUUCAUGCAGUGCUUUGACACUGCCAGCACCUCUGACCUCUGACCCUCUGUAGAAUCCAAAUGCGGAACUUUAUCAGGGAUCCAUGCCCACCCCCAGCACACACACACACACACACAACACACACACACACACACACACACGUUUUUGUGGGAUGAGUCUGAGAGGACCCUCCAGGGCUGUCCACGUUUCCCACUCCAGCCCUCCUUCCUUUACCUUCACACUUGGCCUCCCGACUUACUCUCAACCCACCUCCUUGGUGUGCAAACUAACAAAAUGCACUUUUCUGCCCAAACUCCCCUACAUCAUUAAGUGACAUAGAAAGUUCAGUUCAAUACGGGGGAAAAUUGAAUUUAUCUUGGAAAUGUUUUAUUCUUCCAAAAUUUCACUUUGGCAAAGUCUAAUGCAUAGAAAAGCAUGAAAUACUACAGCUCCAGACCAAGCAAGUUGUUCCACUAAGCAUUAAGCCGCAGGGUCCGAAUUCUGCCUCUCUCCCGUCAACCACUCUCUUUAACUCAAAUGCCCAUCAACGUCCCGGCUAAAUGUGAGUUUUCCACGGAUCGCAUCUUAUCAUAAUGUCACAAAACCCAUAGAAUUACAAAUCAGGUUUAAGGCAGAAAACAUGACAGGCAAAUAUAAGUACACAAAAAGUACAUUAAGGAUCCAUCUUCAUUUAUUCUCCGCAUUCCAACCUACCUCUCCGCGCAGACCCGCUCCGUGCGGCGCUCAGCUUGAAGUAGCCUCAGAUCCAUUUUAAAGUGGACUGAAAUAUAAAUGACAGUUCACACUGCACAUGAACAUAGACAACUGUAUAAAAUAUUUAAAUAAAGACAAGAAAGAACAGAGGAUUGCAGCAAAGCCUUUGGCAGAACCGGCCUUGGGGAAUUUAGCAGCUUGAGAUUCAUUACAAAUAUCAUCUUUA